This 496-nucleotide ribosomal RNA is filed under the name uncultured bacterium. Its description in RNAcentral is "partial 16S ribosomal RNA". It matches the Rfam family "Bacterial small subunit ribosomal RNA", at positions 28 to 506 of the family's 1533-position model. The record is from RNAcentral.
GAUGAACGCUGGCGGCGUGCCUAAUACAUGCAAGUCGAGCGAACAGACGAGGAGCUUGCUCCUCUGACGUUAGCGGCGGACGGGUGAGUAACACGUGGAUAACCUACCUAUAAGACUGGGAUAACUUCGGGAAACCGGAGCUAAUACCGGAUAAUAUAUUGAACCGCAUGGUUCAAUAGUUAAAGACGGUUUUGCUGUCACUUAUAGAUGGAUCCGCGCCGCAUUAGCUAGUUGGUAAGGUAACGGCUUACCAAGGCGACGAUGCGUAGCCGACCUGAGAGGGUGAUCGGCCACACUGGAACUGAGACACGGUCCAGACUCCUACGGGAGGCAGCAGUAGGGAAUCUUCCGCAAUGGGCGAAAGCCUGACGGAGCAACGCCGCGUGAGUGAUGAAGGUCUUCGGAUCGUAAAACUCUGUUAUUAGGGAAGAACAAAUGUGUAAGUAACUAUGCACGUCUUGACGGUACCUAAUCAGAAAGCCACGGCUAACUACGU